This is a long non-coding RNA of Symphalangus syndactylus (siamang), 4427 nucleotides long. RefSeq lists it as uncharacterized. Lineage: Eukaryota; Metazoa; Chordata; Mammalia; Primates; Hylobatidae. The record is from RefSeq and is a predicted model, not a curated record.
UUCUGCAUAUUUUCAAAUUAAAUAUGUUGAGGCUUAUAGUAUUUUAGAAUAUUAGAAUUUGAGAUAAUCGUAUAGUUUCUUGAUAUCUUGUGUCUUGGCAUACUUGGAAUCCCCUCUGUGUUUUGAAAGUGAACUUUUAGCUUCACCGACUUUUUCACCUUUGGUAUGAUAGAGUCUACUUUUUGCUAUUUUUGCUCUCUUGAUUUACCUGCCAAGUGGCAGGCACAAUGGGCAAUUUUAGCUCAGCUCAUCUGAAGAAAUUCAUCACUGAGACCUACAAAAAUUCCCUGAAAGGAACAGAGAAAGCCGAGGCGUUCUCACUUUCAGUUCUCACUUUUGCCAGUUGGAUGGGACAGUGACUUUAAGGAUAUAACAAUACAACUGACACGAUUAGGUGUUUGUUUAAAUGAUUUUUCAUUUCAAGUUUAUCUUUGUUUAAGCUGACCACAGCAAAUAUUUGAUGUUACCAGUUAAAUAUCUUGCAGUCUUUUCACACUUAAAACUUUUUCAGCCUUAAGUUUCUGCCUCCUUAUCUGUAACCUGUACAAGGGUUUUCCUCUCUGUCUCUUCCAUCACGGGAUGGUGUCUAGGCACAUGGGAAGGGCCAUCUUGUCCUUGCAGUUGUCACUGGUUGGUUGAGGGCUCUUAUAUUGUUUAAUGUCAAGCCAGGUCUUCUGUGGUUAUUGAAAAUUAAGUGUCUUUUGCAGGUCAUUCUCACACCUCUGUUGAUCUUCACUGUUGCUUCAAGCCAUAAGCUUACCUUUCACUGUGAACUCUGGCCCCAACCCCAGACCUACUUCUGUCCACCAAUCCUACAGCUUCCCUUGGUACUUGUGCACUCCCUGCUGCUUUCUCUCCACUAGCUGUUCUGUGCUGGACCCUGUGAGGUCAACUUUGCCUGGUCACCUCCUUCACCUUUGCCAUUUGACUGUGCCCAGGUCAUAUUGAGCACACUGCCAGGAGGAAGAUUGAGCUUGGAGGACAUGAAUGAGGAGAAGCUGGGGGUCUAUAGCAAUGAUUUUAGAAUCAUUGAUCCAAAGUUGGAUGCUUUCCUCAUAUCUUCUGCAUUUCCCUGAAGAAGUUUCCAGGACCUCUCUAUCUCCUUUAUAUUAUAACCUCCUACUUCCUUCUCCAUGGCUUGUUUCAGUCUUCCAGAAUUGAUGCAAUGACUUCGUUUAAAUUAACGGGUAAUGUGAAAUAGUCUAGUUGCCAAAUUAAAGAGAAAUAAAAAGGAGCAAGUAAAACUAAUUUUUUUUUUUUUUUUUUUGAGACGAAGUCUCACUCUGUCUCCCAGGCUGGAGUGCAGUGGCGUGAUCUCGGCUCACUGCAACCUCCACCCUCUGAGUUCCAGCGAUUCUCCUGCCUCAGCCUCCUGAGUAGCUGAGAUUACAGGCACCUGCCACUGCGCCUGGCUAAUUUUUUGUAUUUUUAGUAGAGACAGAGGUUCACCGUCUUGGCCAGACUGGUCUUGAACUCCUGACCUCGUGAUCCACCCUCCUUGGCCUCCCAAAGUGCUGGGAUUACAAGUGUGAGCCACCGCGCCCGGCCAAGGAAAACUGAUUUUUUAAAUAUUUUUAUUUAGCCUAAAACAUCUGAAAUAUUAUCAUUUCAACAUGUAAUCAAUAUAAAAAUUUAUUGAGGUAUUUUACAUUCUCCUUGUCUUCUUUUUUUGGGAGGGAAUGGGUACAGAGUCUGGAUCCCAGAGUGUGUAUUUUUCCCUUACAAUACACCUCAGUUUGGACAAGCCACAUUGCAGGACUAGAGGCUACCAUAUUGGACAGAAUGAGUCUCGGUCAUGAAUGAGGAAGCUUCUAGAUAAUUUUAAAAGAAAAGCAAAAACAAUAAAUAAACUCUUAGGAUGGUGCGGCUUUGCCUGUCUACCUUAGCAUUUCAUUAACUCCAGGUGCCUGUUUCCCACUGCCACUUGAUAUGUAAAAUUUGUCUUCCACUCAACCAGGCAGAUUUUUGAUCACAGAAAUUAAGCCUCUGGUUUCCUCUCAAUCCACCCAAACACAUAGCACACUGCUGACCUCACAGCAGGUACUCCAACCAACCAAUCCCUGAAUUAAAAACUGAUUACAGGCAGUUGCUCGAUGCCUUGCCACUUCCACUUUCAGUGAGUCCAUUUUAUUUGUCUGACAGCAAAGCUCCAAUUCUGUCUUCACCCCUACCAACCCAUACUUUUACAAAUUGCUUUUUAGCUUAAUGUUGAAACAGCCACGCUUUAAAAAUAUCAUUUCAUUAUGUACAGGUUGGCAAUCAAGAAAGAAAAAUUCCCAUAGGACUCAAAUGAAGCAAAUCUUAAAAUUUCGGACUGAAGCUCUGGAAUGGUCAAUCUGAUUUUAAUGCUCUCAAGAGUCCACAUAAAAUAUAUGGGCUUAGCAAACUUUCUGGGAAAACCCACUCAAAGAGAUGACUUAUUGAUGUAUGGAUGAAGCAAAAGUGACUCCCAGAUUUUAUCCAAAAAUAUAUCUAAUGAUAUAUGAAAAUGAUCAUUCUAGUUAAAUAUAUUCUAAUGAUUUGAACAUAUCUAAAUAAGUCGGUUCUAUCCCUCAUAAAGUCUAAUGACAAACUUUGGAGACUUAAAAAAGUAUGAAAAAUAAAAGUCAAACUCUGGAGGGUGAGGCAGGAGAAUUGCUUGAACCUGGGUGAGGGAGGUUGCAGUGAGUCGAGAUUGUGCCAUUGCACUCCAGCCCUGGCAACAUCCGUCUCAAAAUAAAUAAAUAAAUAAGAUAAGAUAAAAUAAAAUAAAAUAAAAAAAGAUGAAUAACAAUUGGCCCAUACAAUUUUUACCCCAGCAAGAGGACGUUUUGUUAAAUGGCCAGCAUUGGUUAUUGAUACAACACAUCUUUUUAAUUCCCCUUAAAGCUGCACUUUCCUCUCUGUUCCCUGCCAUCCAUCUAUCCAUCUGGAUUGCUGGAAUGGCCUCCUGACAAGUCUCCUUGCCUUCUCUGUGCAUCCCCACCCGGACAUUUGUCCUCCAGGCCAGUGUUUCAAACUGUCUGGUUUUUGGUUUGUUUCAUUUUUGAGACCGGGUCCUUCACCCAGGCUGGAGUGCAGUGGCAUGAUCAUGAUCACAGCUCAUUGCAGCCUUGACCUCCCUGGCUCAAGUGAUUCUCUCACCUCAGCCUCCCACAGAAUACUGGAAUUACAGAUGUGCACCACCACGCCCCAGUAAUUUUUUUGUGUGUUUUUAUUUAUUUAUUUAUUUGUAGAGACAAGGUUCGUGUUGCUCAGGCUGAACUCUCCACUUGUUUUUCAGUUUCUAAUUUUUUAAUUGGCAUAUAAUAAUUGUACAUAUUUAUGAGGUACAUAGUGAGUUUUGAUAUAUGUCUAGUGAUCAAAUCAGGGUAAUUAGCAUAUCUAUCACCUCAGAAGGUCACCAUUUGUUUUGUUGGGAACAUUCAAAAUCCUGUCUUAUAUAUAUUUGAAAAUAUACAUAAUUUUUGACUACAGUCAUCCUACAUUGCUAUCGAACACUAGAACUCAUUCCUGUCAUCUAGCUGUAAUUUUGUGUCCUUUAACAAAUUCCCCCAUGCACCCGCCCCGCUACUCUUCUCAGCCUCUAGUAGCCACUGUUCUACUCUACUUCUAAGAGAUCAAUGUUUGUAGCUUCCGUAUGUGAAUGAGAACAAGCAGUAUUUAUCUUUCUAUUCCUGGAGAAGAGCAGGCUUUUUCCUGAAUACAUUGCUGUCCAAUAUUACUAUAAAACAUAAUACAAAUGAAUUAUUAGAAAAAUUAAAUGAGAAAAACCCAGGCAUGCAAAAUAUUAAAAAAUAUUUAAAACAUUAUUUUAAAAAUUUAAAUAAUUAUUAAUUUAAAUAGACUAAAAUUGCUCUCUCAACUUGCUCUGUAAGUUCCCCUAUUUACUCUCAGUUUCUAUACUUAUCUUCCUGUGGAAUUUUAAAACAGCUUGGUUCAUAAUUCAGGUAGCAUUGAUAUAGAUCCGCACAGUCCAAUGCUGUAGCCAGUACUCACAUGCAGAUGUUUAAAGUUAAAUUUCAAUUAGUUUAACUUAAAUUCAUUAAAAAUUCAAUUCCUCCAUUGAAUUAACCACAUUUCAGGUAUUCAGUAGCCACGUAUGGCUAGUGAUAACUAUAUUGGACAUCACAGAUAUGGAACAUUUCCAUCAUCGCAGAAAGCUUUAUUGAACAGUAUUGCUGUAGACCCUUGCUACUUACAGAGUGGUCCAUGAGCCAGCAGUUCUUACUUCACAUGAGAGCUUGCUAGAAAUGAAGAAUCUGAGCUGGAUGCAGUGGUUCAUACCUGUAAUCCCAAUAUUUUGGGAGGCCAAGGCGGGGGUGGGUUGCUUGAGUCCAGGAGUUUGAGACCAGCCUGGGCAAUAUGGUGAGAGCCCAUCUCUAUAAAAUAAAAUAAAAUAAAAUAAAAUAAAAUAAAAUAAAAUAAAAUAAAAUAAAAUAAAAUAA